This 368-nucleotide ribosomal RNA is filed under the name uncultured organism. RNAcentral's name for it is "bacterial LSU rRNA". It matches the Rfam family "Bacterial large subunit ribosomal RNA", at positions 2099 to 2465 of the family's 2925-position model. The record is from RNAcentral.
CUUUACUAUAGCCUGGAAUUGUGUUCGGGCUUCGCUUACGCAGGAUAGGUGGGAGGCUAUGAAGUUCUGCUUGUGGGCAGAAUCGAGCCAACGGUGAGAUACCACUUUAGCGAGGCUAGAAUUCUAACCCUUGCCCAUGAUCUGGGAAGGAGACAGUUUCAGGGGGGGUAGUUUGACUGAGGCGGAAGCCUCAUAAAGGGUAACUGAGGCGCGCAAAGGUCCCCUCAGUCUGGACGGAAAUCAGACAACGAGUGUAAAGGCAGAAGGGAGCUUGACUGCAAGACCUACAAGUCGAGCAGGGUGGAAACACGGUCUUAGUGAUCCGACGGUGCCGCAUGGAAGGGCCGUCGCUCAACGGAUAAAAGUUA